GGGGAAUUUUGGACAAUGGGCGAAAGCCUGAUCCAGCCAUGCCGCGUGCAGGAUGAAGGCCUUCGGGUUGUAAACUGCUUUUGUACGGAACGAAACGGCCUUUUCUAAUAAAGAGGGCUAAUGACGGUACCGUAAGAAUAAGCACCGGCUAACUACGUGCCAGCAGCCGCGGUAAUACGUAGGGUGCAAGCGUUAAUCGGAAUUACUGGGCGUAAAGCGUGCGCAGGCGGUUAUGUAAGACAGUUGUGAAAUCCCCGGGCUCAACCUGGGAACUGCAUCUGUGACUGCAUAGCUAGAGUACGGUAGAGGGGGAUGGAAUUCCGCGUGUAGCAGUGAAAUGCGUAGAUAUGCGGAGGAACACCGAUGGCGAAGGCAAUCCCCUGGACCUGUACUGACGCUCAUGCACGAAAGCGUGGGGAGCAAACAGGAUUAGAUACCCUGGUAGUCCACGCCCUAAACGAUGUCAACUGGUUGUUGGGUCUUCACUGACUCAGUAACGAAGCUAACGCGUGAAGUUGACCGCCUGGGGAGUACGGCCGCAAGGUUGAAACUCAAAGGAA
Molecule: ribosomal RNA, 560 nt
Filed under: uncultured Variovorax sp.
Lineage: Bacteria; Pseudomonadati; Pseudomonadota; Betaproteobacteria; Burkholderiales; Comamonadaceae
Description: bacterial SSU rRNA
Rfam family: Bacterial small subunit ribosomal RNA
Source: RNAcentral